RNAcentral lists this non-coding RNA (27 nucleotides) under Homo sapiens (human). The record is from RNAcentral. Lineage: Eukaryota; Metazoa; Chordata; Mammalia; Primates; Hominidae.
CAAGAAAGAAUUCAGGGUGAUGCCACA